CCAGUCUGCUGCUGCUGGCUCUGCCCCUGAUCUAUAUGCUUGCCUGACAUCAUCGGAAGUGUUGAACUGAGCCAAUUGCAAUUCUUUCCCAUAGGAAACUGUCAAGGAGGCAGAUCAGGGGCAUAGCCAAAACAAGCCAAACACAGCCCCGGCCAAUCAGCAUCUCCUCAUAUAAUUGCAUUUAAUCAAGGCAGCUCUAUGAGGAAAGUUUAGUGUAUCUAUGUAGAGGAUGGAGACACUAAUUGGCAGUGCUGCACAG
Molecule: non-coding RNA, 259 nt
Organism: Pelobates cultripes (western spadefoot toad)
Lineage: Eukaryota; Metazoa; Chordata; Amphibia; Anura; Pelobatidae
Source: the annotation of a GenBank genome assembly